CCUACGGGCGGCAGCAGUGGGGAAUAUUGGACAAUGGGGGGAACCCUGAUCCAGCCAUGCCGCGUGUGUGAAGAAGGCCCUCGGGUUGUAAAGCACUUUCAGUGAGGAAGAACGCCUGGUGGUUAAUACCCAUCAGGAAAGACAUCACUCACAGAAGAAGCACCGGCUAACUCCGUGCCAGCAGCCGCGGUAAUACGGAGGGUGCGAGCGUUAAUCGGAAUUACUGGGCGUAAAGCGCGCGUAGGUGGCUUGAUAAGCCGGUUGUGAAAGCCCCGGGCUCAACCUGGGAACGGCAUCCGGAACUGUCAAGCUAGAGUGCAGGAGAGGAAGGUAGAAUUCCCGGUGUAGCGGCGAAAUGCGUAGAGAUCGGGAGGAAUACCAGUGGCGAAGGCGGCCUUCUGGACUGACACUGACACUGAGGUGCGAAAGCGUGGGUAGCAAACAGGAUUAGAUACCCCUGUAGUC
This 465-nucleotide ribosomal RNA is filed under the name Vreelandella stevensii. RNAcentral describes it as "partial 16S ribosomal RNA". It matches the Rfam family "Bacterial small subunit ribosomal RNA", at positions 338 to 795 of the family's 1533-position model. The record is from RNAcentral. Lineage: Bacteria; Pseudomonadati; Pseudomonadota; Gammaproteobacteria; Oceanospirillales; Halomonadaceae.